UACAGAGGUCCCAAGCGUUGUUCGGAUUCACUGGGCGUAAAGGGUGCGUAGGUGGUGGGGUAAGUCGGAUGUGAAAGCUCGGAGCUCAACUCCGAAAUGGCAUUGGAAACUACCCUGCUAGAGGAUUGGAGGGGGGACUGGAAUACUUGGUGUAGCAGUGAAAUGCGUAGAUAUUGGGAGGAACACCAGUGGCGAAGGCGGCUACCUGGACCGGUUCUGACGCUGAGGCGCGAAAGCGUGGGGAGCAAACAGG
RNAcentral lists this ribosomal RNA (253 nucleotides) under uncultured bacterium. Its description in RNAcentral is "partial 16S ribosomal RNA". It matches the Rfam family "Bacterial small subunit ribosomal RNA", at positions 524 to 776 of the family's 1533-position model. The record is from RNAcentral.